Cotesia glomerata is the source of this 673-nucleotide long non-coding RNA. RefSeq lists it as uncharacterized. The transcript has 4 exons. The record is from RefSeq and is a predicted model, not a curated record. Lineage: Eukaryota; Metazoa; Arthropoda; Insecta; Hymenoptera; Braconidae.
UGAAUCGAUGGUAUUACCCCAUAAUUUUACUUAUACUUUUAACAGUUAAUUUAAGACUUAGCGUUGAGUCCGUAAAUUUGAUACCUUUAAAUUUACCUAAUAAAAGCAAAAUUUUUCAUUUGAGAAAUUUUUUGCUUUACUUUAGAUAGUCAUAAUAUGCGUGAUUUAUUUAUUUUAUUGAUUAUUAAUUUUUCACUGUAUGUUAUCAAUAGACGUUAGAAGAACUUUUAAAAAAAUCCAGCUUUGGUAAAAGAGUUCUUGCUUCAUAUAAAAAAAAUCCAAAACGUAAAAAAAAUUAUGAAGGCCUCACUGAACACGAUCGGAAUAAACUCGUCGACAUAAUUAUUGAUGAUGAAAUUAAAACUAGCCUUGACAAAUGCAUAUCAGGAAAACGUUUUAUAGAAAUAGCUAACGCCAUUGUAGAGCUUUUUCCCAAAGAAAACAAGUUGACGUACAUUUUUAUCACUGAGAAUGGACAGUUUGUAGCUGGCCAUGGCAAAUUAUAUCGACGAUGGUCAAAUACGAGACGGGAAAUGAUUAAGCUUGGUUUGAUUUCCAUUAACAAAAAUAAGCGUAAGAGAAAUGAAGAUAUCGAAACUGAGGAAAGUGAAAAUGAUGGUUCGACUAUAACUUUAGAAUCUUUGAAAGACCUUGAUGUACCUUUAGAUGAAUU